UAGUUUGAUCCUGGCUCAGGACGAACGCUGGCGGCGUGCCUAAAACAUGCAAGUCGAACGAGGCCCACCCAGUGGCAACACUGGUGAAGGCCUAGUGGCGAACGGGUGAGUAACACGUGAGGAACCUGCCCCGAAGACCGGGAUAACCCUCCGAAAGGAGAGCUAAUACCGGAUGUCCCCUGGAGAUCGCAUGGUCACCAGAGGAAAUGCUUUUGUGCUUCGGGAGGGCCUCGCGGCCUAUCAGCUAGUUGGUGAGGUAACGGCUCACCAAGGCAUCGACGGGUAGCUGGUCUGAGAGGACGAUCAGCCACACUGGGACUGAGACACGGCCCAGACUCCUACGGGAGGCAGCAGUUAGGAAUCUUGCGCAAUGGGCGAAAGCCUGACGCAGCAACGCCGCGUGGGGGAUGAAGGCCUUCGGGUUGUAAACCCCUUUCAGUGGGGACGAAAAUGACGGUACCCACAGAAGAAGCCCCGGCCAACUACGUGCCAGCAGCCGCGGUAACACGUAGGGGGCAAGCGUUGUCCGGAUUUAUUGGGCGUAAAGGGCUCGUAGGCGGUUCGACAAGUCGGGUGUGAAACCUCCAGGCUCAACCUGGAGUCGCCACUCGAAACUGUUGUGACUUGAGUCCGGUAGGGGAGCAUGGAAUUCCUGGUGUAGCGGUGGAAUGCGCAGAUAUCAGGAGGAACACCAGUGGCGAAGGCGAUGCUCUGGGCCGGUACUGACGCUGAGGAGCGAAAGCAUGGGGAGCGAACAGGAUUAGAUACCCUGGUAGUCCAUGCC
This 784-nucleotide ribosomal RNA is filed under the name uncultured bacterium. RNAcentral's name for it is "bacterial SSU rRNA". It matches the Rfam family "Bacterial small subunit ribosomal RNA", at positions 9 to 801 of the family's 1533-position model. The record is from RNAcentral.